RNAcentral lists this ribosomal RNA (253 nucleotides) under uncultured bacterium. Its description in RNAcentral is "partial 16S ribosomal RNA". It matches the Rfam family "Bacterial small subunit ribosomal RNA", at positions 524 to 776 of the family's 1533-position model. The record is from RNAcentral.
UACGAAGGUCCCAAGCGUUAUCCGGAUUUAUUGGGUUUAAAGGGUGCGUAGGCGGGCUAUUAAGUCAGUGGUGAAAGCCCCAAGCUUAACUUGGGAACUGCCAUUGAUACUGAUGGUCUUGAGUAUAUUUGAGGUGGGCGGAAUGUGUCAUGUAGCGGUGAAAUGCUUAGAUAUGACACAGAACACCGAUUGCGAAGGCAGCUCACUAAACUGUAACUGACGCUGAGGCACGAAAGCGUGGGGAGCAAACAGG